Molecule: transfer RNA, 44 nt
Filed under: Zygothrica sp. 6f PMO-2008
Lineage: Eukaryota; Metazoa; Arthropoda; Insecta; Diptera; Drosophilidae
Description: partial tRNA-Tyr
Source: RNAcentral
CUUGAUUAAGAAGAAAAUAUCUCAUAAAUAGAUUUACAAUCUAU